AAACAAAUGUGGUUGAUAUUAUUAACUAUUUAAAUGAAACUUUUUCUUCAAAUUUUGGGCUGUUACAAGUUGGUAUCAGAGCCUUGGUUUGAGGGAUUUGAGCACACUCUUGGGUGUGUCAGAACUCAAACUGAGGAAAUGGUAAACCCUUUUUCAAAAAGAAACCAAAAGUUAAAAUUUUUUGUCAAAAACGGUUUUUAUAAGUAAAAGGGGAGAGUGUAAUGUGCGUAUUCGACCAAGCUCAAGUAAGUGUUGAGGUGUUCCCAAUGAACUAGCCAUGCUAUACAUAUAUUUAGAAAUUGAUGAUUGAAUUAAUUACUUGCUAUGUGUAUGCUUUCAAAGUUUUAUAUGUCUUGGAUUACAUAGCCCUAGAAUGAUGAAUUAUGCCUUAUUCUUGUUCCUUGUUUGGUUAUGUAUUUAUUUGUUUUUGGUAAAAUCACUAAACGUGUGCUUACAGUUUUUGUUGGGUGUUUUAGGUACUUCUGAUUCUAAGAGCAAGGGCCUGACUUGAUGGCGCAACAUGCACUCCCCAGUAUUUCUGCACUUAGUAUUUGGAAACUCUGAUCUUUUAAACAAUGUAGUUAUUUAAUGGGAUUUUUGGAAACAAAUGUGGUUGAUAUUAUUAACUAUUUAAUUGAAAUUUUUUCUUCAAAUUUUGGGUUGUUACAAGUAGGUAUCAGAGCCUUGGUUUGAGGGAUUUGAGCACACUCUUGGGUGUGUCAGAACUCAAACUGAGGAAAUGUGUAACAACGUAAAAUUUCCAAUUUAAUUUUUCAUUUUUAAACCACAAAAUGUAUAUCAUAUCAUAAUCUCAAAUCCAAAACAACAGUGUUUUCAAAACAAAUCCCAAGAUCUCUCUAAUGUGAACUCCAUCAAUGUGGGUGUGUACAAGUCAAGCCGUCGCCUUCCCACGGUCCUCGCUGGUACCUGAGACAUCAAACACAACAACUGUAAGCAUAAAUCCUUAGUGAGUUCCCCAAAAUACCACAUACCACAAAUACGCCACUCGAGGCUAAACCCGACCCUCUGGUCAAGAUGUCUCAGCGGGACCCUCCAGUCCCACAGCUCGUCGGACCCUCCGGUCCAGUCAUAGCUCAUUGGGCCCUCUGGCCCG
Molecule: long non-coding RNA, 1114 nt
Filed under: Lactuca sativa (garden lettuce)
Lineage: Eukaryota; Viridiplantae; Streptophyta; Magnoliopsida; Asterales; Asteraceae
Description: long non-coding RNA (LSAT_LNC000035)
Source: RNAcentral